Molecule: non-coding RNA, 387 nt
Organism: Arachis ipaensis
Lineage: Eukaryota; Viridiplantae; Streptophyta; Magnoliopsida; Fabales; Fabaceae
Source: RefSeq, a predicted model, not a curated record
AAGUACUUGUGAUAGGUGCUACAAAUAGAUUAGACAUUCUUGAUCCCGCUUUGUUGAGGAAGGAUCAUUUUGACAAGAUCAUUUGAGUUGGUUUGCCAUCAAAGGAUGGAAGAUUUGCCAUUUUGAAGGUGCAUGCAAGGAAUAAAUUCUUUCGCUCAGAGGCAUUUGGAUUACAUUGGGCGAGAUGAGCUACUUGAGGCAUUAAAGAGGCAAAAAGGAACUUUUGAGACAUGGCAAGGGGAUACUGCUGAAAUUCCUGAAGAAUUGAAGCUUAGACUGGCAUACAGAGAAGUGGCAGUUGCUGUUCUUGUAUGUUAUUAUCCUGAACUACACCACUUUUUGCUCUUAAAUUAAUCUAUUAACAUUGCAAGUAUUGGUAUAGAUAAA